GUAUUGUGGGGUACAGUGGCAUUGUGGGGUACAGUGGCAUUGUGGGGUACAGUGGCGUUGUGUAGUGUCGUAGUGGGGUACAGUGUCGUUGUGGGGUAUUGUGUCGUUGUGGGGUAUUGUGUCGUAGUGGGGUUGUGGGGUAUAGUGUCGUUGUGUGGUGUCGUUGUGGGGUACAGUGUCGUUGUGUGGUAUAGUGUCGUUGUGGGGUAUGGUGGCGUUGUGGGGUAUAGUGGCGUUGUGGGGUAUAGUGGGGUAUAGUGGCGUUGUGGGGUACAGUGUCGUUGUGGGGUACAGUGUCGUUGUGGGGUACAGUGUCGUUGUGGGGUAUUGUGUCGUUGUGGGGUAUAGUGGGGUAUAGUGUCGUUGUGGGGUAUAGUGUCGUUGUGGGGUAUUGUGUCGUUGUGGGGUAUAGUGGGGUAUAGUGUCGUUGUGUGGGGUAUAGUGUCGUUGUGGGGUACAGUGUCGUUGUGGGGUACAGUGGCGUUGUG
Molecule: long non-coding RNA, 488 nt
Organism: Oncorhynchus tshawytscha (Chinook salmon)
Lineage: Eukaryota; Metazoa; Chordata; Actinopteri; Salmoniformes; Salmonidae
Source: Ensembl